CCAGACUCCUACGGGAGGCAGCAGUGGGGAAUCUUCCGCAAUGGGCGAAAGCCUGACGGAGCAACGCCGCGUGAUCGAAUGAAGGCCUUCGGGUUGUAAAGAUCUGUUGACAGGGACGAAUAAGCAAUGCGAAUAGUUUUGUGUAUGACGGUACCUGUUUAGAAAGCUCCGGCUAACUACGUGCCAGCAGCCGCGGUAAUACGUAGGGGGCGAGCGUUGUCCGGAAUUACUGGGCGUAAAGAGAGCGUAGGCGGCACUACAAGUCUCAUGUGAAAUACCCGGGCUUAACUUGGGGGUUGCAUGGGAAACUGUAGAGCUUGAGUACAGGAGAGGCAAGCGGAAUUCCUAGUGUAGCGGUGAAAUGCAUAGAUAUUAGGAGGAACACCAGUGGCGAAGGCGGCUUGCUGGACUGAAACUGACGCUGAGGCUCGAAAGCGUGGGGAGCAAACAGGAUUAGAUACCCGGGUA
RNAcentral lists this ribosomal RNA (468 nucleotides) under uncultured bacterium. RNAcentral describes it as "partial 16S ribosomal RNA". It matches the Rfam family "Bacterial small subunit ribosomal RNA", at positions 331 to 792 of the family's 1533-position model. The record is from RNAcentral.